UACGUAGGGGGCAAGCGUUAUCCGGAAUUACUGGGUGUAAAGGGAGCGUAGGCGGCAUGGUAAGUUAGAUGUGAAAGCCCGUGGCUUAACCGCGAGGAUUGCAUUUAAAACUAUCAAGCUAGAGUACAGGAGAGGAAAGCGGAAUUCCUAGUGUAGCGGUGAAAUGCGUAGAUAUUAGGAAGAACACCAGUGGCGAAGGCGGCUUUCUGGACUGAAACUGACGCUGAUGCUCGAAAGCGUGGGGAGCGAACAGG
This 254-nucleotide ribosomal RNA is filed under the name uncultured bacterium. RNAcentral describes it as "partial 16S ribosomal RNA". It matches the Rfam family "Bacterial small subunit ribosomal RNA", at positions 524 to 776 of the family's 1533-position model. The record is from RNAcentral.